Molecule: long non-coding RNA, 541 nt
Organism: Amphimedon queenslandica
Lineage: Eukaryota; Metazoa; Porifera; Demospongiae; Haplosclerida; Niphatidae
Exons: 3
Source: RefSeq, a predicted model, not a curated record
AUUUUCUUCUUGUCUCUUCUCAUCUCGCCUUUCCUCUAUUGAAACUUAUUUAAAGAUGAUGAAGCAGUGACCAACAAAAUAUAUUUACUUUUGGCAGUACGUAAGAUUAGUGGUGGUAUCAAUGUUCUUGUUAUUAUAGUUUUAAUGCAUGGUUUGUAUAUUAAUUGUUACUGUUCUUCUUUUUCUUCCACUCUCCAUUAUCCCCUUGUACUAUAUAGCAGGGUUACGUCUUGACUACGUGGUUGGUGGUGGAAGGUUUUUGACAUAAUUGAUGGGUUAAAUUUUGGUGAUUUUAUUAUGUCUUAUCUUUUACUUGUCAAUGAUCACAACAUGUAAGGAACAAUAAUGCUUGUAACAGUGAUGCUCUCUCUUUCUGUCUUUUCUUCCCUUUCUCUUUCAUAGAAAUUUAAAAGGUUAUUUGUUACGUCAGUCUUUUUUCACUCCAACAAAAGGCCUUUUACUAUCUAAAUCCUCUAUAAUUUUAUAUAGUUUAACGAAAGUAUGUGUGCAUAUGACAACCUGUCAAGAAGAUAUAGAGAAC